GGCGGCAGGCCUAACCAUGCAAGUCGAGCGCGCCCUUCGGGGUGAGCGGCGGACGGGUUAGUAACGCGUGGGAACGUACCCAGAUCUAAGGAAUAGCCACUGGAAACGGUGAGUAAUACCUUAUACGCCCUUCGGGGGAAAGAUUUAUCGGAUUUGGAUCGGCCCGCGUUAGAUUAGAUAGUUGGUGGGGUAAUGGCCUACCAAGUCUACGAUCUAUAGCUGGUUUUAGAGGAUGAUCAGCAACACUGGGACUGAGACACGGCCCAGACUCCUACGGGAGGCAGCAGUGGGGAAUCUUAGACAAUGGGCGCAAGCCUGAUCUAGCCAUGCCGCGUGAGUGAUGAAGGCCUUAGGGUCGUAAAGCUCUUUCGCCUGUGAUGAUAAUGACAGUAGCAGGUAAAGAAACCCCGGCUAACUCCGUGCCAGCAGCCGCGGUAAUACGGAGGGGGUUAGCGUUGUUCGGAAUUACUGGGCGUAAAGCGCACGUAGGCGGAUCAGAAAGUUAGGGGUGAAAUCCCGGGGCUCAACCUCGGAACUGCCUCUAAAACUCCUGGUCUAGAGUUCGAGAGAGGUGAGUGGAAUUCCAAGUGUAGAGGUGAAAUUCGUAGAUAUUUGGAGGAACACCAGUGGCGAAGGCGGCUCACUGGCUCGAUACUGACGCUGAGGUGCGAAAGUGUGGGGAGCAAACAGGAUUAGAUACCCUGGUAGUCCACACCGUAAACGAUGAAUGCCAGUCGUCGGCAAGUAUACUUGUCGGUGACACACCUAACGGAUUAAGCAUUCCCGCCUGGGGGAGUACGGGUCGCAAGAUUAAAACUCAAAGGAAUUGACGGGGCCCGGCACAAGCGGUGG
Molecule: ribosomal RNA, 852 nt
Filed under: uncultured Alphaproteobacteria bacterium
Lineage: Bacteria; Pseudomonadati; Pseudomonadota; Alphaproteobacteria
Description: bacterial SSU rRNA
Rfam family: Bacterial small subunit ribosomal RNA
Source: RNAcentral